AACAGCUCUUCAACCACUUGCGGCAGAAUUUCAAAAUCUAUUUAGUAUGGAGAUGUUGGCACAAGAAGGUGAACUGUCAUUAUAUAUCAAUCUUUUGCUCUGGCUGCUAUUGACUUGACUACAUUGUCUCACUGAGCAGUGUUUUCUCAUGGAGGAAAGAAAGAUGGGCCAAAUCAUGCGGGUAAGUGCCCAAGAAAUUUCAUACUAGCUACUUCCACUACUGUCACCCCUAAGUAUUGCAUUAUUUGUGAGAGUUCGGCCAUUUGAAGAAAAGACAUCGGAUUAUACAAAGUGUCCCUAAUGCUAUGAUGUUGACAUUCGACCAUUUGAAGAAAAUACAUCGGAUUAUACAAAGUGUCCCUAAUGCUAUGAUGUUGACAUAAUCUGGUUGGCGACAUUUUCUAAUUCAUUACAUUAAAGAUUAUUUGGAUCAUUGUUCCAAUGUAUCUCAGCCUUUCUGCAAGUUCCAAUUUAGAAGGCUGAAAUUGACCAUUAGAAAACAAAACAAUGGCCAAUAAAAAGAAUUCUCCUUUGAAGUUUAUUUUAAUGAGCAUAAAACUAGGCGAAGAGUCUAAUUACUGCUUUUCUGUUGUUUCACUUUAUAGGGUAGGGUCACCGUGCCUAUGUGGGUCAUAGAAAAGAAAAUACAUAAAGCCUAACAAGCGAGCCAUGCUUCCUUGAAAUUUGCCAGAACUGUCAUCACCUAUGGUUGAUUAAGAAAAAAAACAGGAAACAAGAGACCUGGUUU
This 748-nucleotide long non-coding RNA is filed under the name Nicotiana benthamiana. RNAcentral's name for it is "long non-coding RNA (NBEN_LNC039418)". Lineage: Eukaryota; Viridiplantae; Streptophyta; Magnoliopsida; Solanales; Solanaceae. The record is from RNAcentral.